Molecule: ribosomal RNA, 1878 nt
Filed under: Triticum aestivum (bread wheat)
Lineage: Eukaryota; Viridiplantae; Streptophyta; Magnoliopsida; Poales; Poaceae
Description: partial small subunit ribosomal RNA
Source: RNAcentral
AUGCCGCCCUCGCUCCGCCUCCUCCUGCUGCUAGCCCUGGCCCUAGCCCUCACCCUCCCGCCCGCCGCGCCGCAGCCGCCGCCGGGGUCGGCGGCGGAGCCGCAGGAGGACGACGCGCGGUGCCUCAAGGGCGUCAAGGCCGACCUCAGGGACCCCGAGGGCCGCCUCUCCUCCUGGACCACCAACACCUCCGCGGGCGCCGUCUGCGACUUCUCCGGCAUCUCCUGCUGGAACCCGCAGGAGUCGCGCAUCCUCGCCGUCUCCCUCUCCGGCUUCGGCCUCCAGGGCAAAAUCCCCCCCGCGCUCCAGUACUGCCGCUCCGCCAACACGCUCGACCUCUCCUCCAACGCGCUCGAGGGCCAGAUACCCCCCGCGCUCUGCGACUGGAUCCCCUUCGUCGUCAACCUCGACCUCUCCGGCAACCGCCUCACCGGCCCGCUCCCCUCCGAGCUCGCCAACUGCCGCUUCCUCAACUCGCUCAAGCUCAGCGACAACGCCUUCUCCGGCCAGAUCCCCGCCUCCCUCGCGCGCCUCGACCGCCUCAAGGCGCUCGACCUCUCCCGGAACCGCCUCGACGGCCAGAUCCCGUCCCAGCUCGGCUCCGCCUUCUCCAAGGACUCCUUCUCCGGGAACUCGGGCCUGUGCGGCCACCCCGUGUCCUCGCGCUGCGGCGGAGGGCUUGGGGGCACCGGCCUCGGAAUCGUUAUCGCUGCCGGGGUCUUCGGCGCCGCCGCUUCGCUGCUCCUCGCCUUCUUCUUCUGGCGAUGCACCGGGAAGGGCAAGGCUGGCCGCCGCCGCCAGGGCCGCGGAGGAAGCGAGUCGGAGGUUACUGCCGCCGAGGACGGGAGCUGGUGGGCGGAGCGCCUGCGGGCCGCACACAACCGACUGGCGCCGGUGUCCUUGUUCCAGAAACCGAUCGUCAAGGUCAAGCUAGCCGACCUGCUGGCAGCCACACAGGACUUCAGCACAAGCCACAUCGUGGUGGCGGGGAGCUCGCGGGCAGGGACCGCAUACCGGGCCGUGCUGCGCGACGGGUCCGCGCUGACGGUGAAGCGCCUGCACUCAUGCCCUCUCUCAGAAAAGGCGUUCAGGUCGGAGAUGGGGCGGAUUGGGCAGCUGCGGCACCCCAACAUCGUGCCGCUGCUGGGAUUCUGUGUUGUUGAGGAGGAGCGGCUGCUGGUGUACAAGCACAUGGAGAGUGGGGCUCUUUCCAAGGUGAUGAAGGAGCCAGGGGAGACAUUGCUGGACUGGGCGACGCGGCUCAGGAUUGCUGUUGGGGCGGCGCGCGGUCUUGCGUGGCUGCACCAUGGGUUUCAGAUGCCACAGAUUCACCAGAACUUGAGCUCGAGCGCGGUGCUUCUCGACGAGGACUAUGAGGCUCGGAUCACAGAUGUUGGGCUCACAAGGCUGGUCCGGAUGGCGCCAGGGGAAGGUGGAGAUACAAGCCCCUUCCUCAAUGGUGACUUUGGGGAGUUUGGGUAUGUUGCCCCAGAGUAUGCUAGCAAUCCAGUUGGUACCAUGAAGGGCGAUACAUAUGCGUUUGGGGUCGUACUACUGGAGCUCGUGAGCGGGCAGGAGGCCGCCUCUGUGUCAAGUGAUGUGGGUGAAGGAUUCAAGGGGACAUUGGUGGAUUGGGUAUAUCAGCUCAAGAGCUCUGGACGAAUCGCCGAUGCUGUGGAUAAGUCAUUGAAGGGCUCUGAUGCAGAGAUCAGCGAGUUCUUGAAGGUGGCUUUUCAGUGUAUUGUGGCUCGGCCAAAGGAGAGGAUCUCAAUGUACAGGGUUUACCACUCUCUGAAGAGCAUUGGAACGGGCCGUGAUGUCUCGGAGCAGUUUGAUGAAUUUCCGCUGGCCUAUAACAAGGACGACUCGGACACCUGA